This is a non-coding RNA of Cajanus cajan (pigeon pea), 2401 nucleotides long. The record is from RefSeq and is a predicted model, not a curated record. Lineage: Eukaryota; Viridiplantae; Streptophyta; Magnoliopsida; Fabales; Fabaceae.
UUUUUUUCUUUCAAAAUUCCUCACACUCUUCAUACAUGACAAGAUUUCAUUUUUUCUUUGCCUCACUUCUCAUUGUCUCAUCUCACUUUCACUCGCGCGGUUUCAAGCUUCAAUCAUGGUUCCUUCUAUCUCUCGUGCGCAUCAACUCGUUUUGCUAUUGGAUCCUCAUAUGCUAAGCUUGAUGGUGUAGGAGUUGAUGAGUAGUACUCAAUUUCAGAUCCAGAAUUAUUAGCAGAGUGCAUGUAUUUCAUGUAAAGUUGGAUGGAAGCAUGGAGCAGUAAUUUGCCUUUUGAUAAUUAGGACGCAUUAAACAACCCACUCUUUGGAAGUGAAUGAAGGGAUAAGUACUCCAAUUUCUUUCGCAACAAGAUGAAGAAUUAGGUUGUACAAAAAGCUUUAAAGAAAGCUUUUGAAGGAGAGGGGCAGAAGAACCAUGCAUUACCCACCAGGAUUUAGCAUCUAAUGCCCAUCUAUCUUCAAUCGAGUCAAAAGAAGCAAAAUUAUGAGCUUUUGAUAAAAAAUCAGCAUAUUCAAGAGAAACCUUUCUUCUUUCUUUAGUUGUUGUGAAAAGUUUUUUUAAACAUUUAUUUCUUUCCAUAGAAAUUUCUUCAUCCUCAUAUGGGGAAAUUCUAUUUGGAACCUCUUGAAGCCAUUCAUCACUAUAGUACCUGUGAAUAAAUAAAAAAGUUAAUAAAUAAAAAAUUUAGUAACUAUCAAAUUAUUUAUAAAUAAAUAAUAAAACAAAUAAAUAUUUAAUAGGCUAAUUUUACCUAGGAUUCAAAGAGUGAGCCAUGCAGUGGAGAGGGGUGCAACUCUUAGUUCACCUAUCAAUUAGUAUAGAAUAAAUAACUUCAUAAAAUGUUGAUGUAUCAUUUAACUCUUUUCCUUCAUAUCUAUAUAUAGACGUCUUUACUUUUUCUAUCAUACUAUCUCACAUCUCAUAGACCAAAUGAAGUGUGAGAAUAUCUAUGUCACAAGCCCUAAGCAUACUAUAAAUAGGCUCGGUGAAAUUAAGAAUAUAUGUAAUUUUGUCCCACCACACAUCAUUCAAAAUAAAUUCUUUUGUAGCUUGGGCCUUACCCAUCAUCGUCUCUAUAAGAGUUCCAUUCUUCACUAAUAACCAUUGAUUGCAAAGCACCUUUCAAAAGUUUAAAUCUCUUUAACAUCACUAGAAUAGAUGCAAAGCGUGUUUCAGCUAUAGCAAGCAAUUUUAGAGGUGAAAAGUGAUUAAAAAUUGCCAAUCUCAUUGAGUGAUUCAUGAUAAAGUUCCUAACAAAAGAAACAUCAUCAACAACUUGAGUAAUCCAAUUACAUUCAGCAUAAGCUACCUCAUUCCUUUCAGUGUUUUUGGUAGCACAUAUAUUCUUCAACACAAGGUUCAAUGUGUGAACAACACAAGGAGUCCAAAAAAUUUUAGGAAAAGAAAUUUCAACAAUCAUUCCAACACCUUUGCAUACAGGAGAAUUAUCUGUUAUAAUUUGAACAACAUUUUGUUCUCCUACUUCUUUUAUAACUUCUAUCAUCUUAUCAGCCAUAUAAUGUUUUUUUUAAUCUCAUCAAAAGCAUUAAUAACUUUUAAAAAUAUUGGACCCCCUUCACUUGUAGCCAUCAAAUUAAUUAAAGGUCUUCUUUGAACACCUGUCCAUCCAUCAGAUACUAUGCUAACACCUUUUGCAAUCCAAGUCGAUUUAAUAGCUUUAAGCAACCUCUCAACUCGUGUCUUCUCUUGUUGUAAGAGAGUUGUCCUCAAGGCAUUGUAUCCAGAAGGGAGAAAACCAUUAAGCAUGUGAUUUGCAGCAAAUGAAUAAGAAUUCACAUAAUAGGGAUUUCUGGCAAGGUUGAAGGGCAAUCCAGAAGAAUAAAACAUUCUAGCAAUGAGAGCUUUGAGAUUAUCUCUAUUUUCUAAAUUAAAUUUUUUCUCCAAAGGACCAACGUUUCUUUUUUUCAAUAAAGAACUCUGAUGCAUUUUCUCUGUAGGCAAUGAGACAUGCUUAGGUUUUACUUUAUUUUUAGCCAAUUCAAUAAUUGAUUUUAAUUCAACCAAAUAUUGAUCAUUUACACUUGCAGACACGGAAAUUCUAGUUCCAUAAAUCCUCAACAAAUGAGUUUUAACUUUUGAAUAAGAACUUUUAUAAACCUUUUGACAAAAAUUACAAAACCAACUCUUAUUUCCUUCCCCUUCUGAAUUUUUAUCUAAUAUGCUAACAUAACACCAAAGAGGAGCAUGAUCAUCUUGUACAACAUCAGCAGAAACGAACUUACUUGAAAUUUUAGAAUUGAUAUUAGAAUCAGAACCAGAAGCAUUUGCUAUUGACAUUAUAAAUAAAUAAUUUUUAUGCUUCUGCAAAAAAAAAAGUAUAUCUAUGUUAAAUUGCUAAUUGUUAAAUAAAUUAUACAACUU